UUGUAUUCGUCCAAUGUAUGUAUAUACACAGUAAAUCUGAAGUCUCCAAGUCUGAAAGAGUUCAAAUGAGGCUGAAAAAACAAAAUCAAUUUUUCGAUUAUUCUC
Molecule: long non-coding RNA, 105 nt
Organism: Drosophila navojoa
Lineage: Eukaryota; Metazoa; Arthropoda; Insecta; Diptera; Drosophilidae
Source: RefSeq, a predicted model, not a curated record